Cyprinodon variegatus (sheepshead minnow) is the source of this 466-nucleotide long non-coding RNA. RefSeq lists it as uncharacterized. The transcript has 3 exons. The record is from RefSeq and is a predicted model, not a curated record. Lineage: Eukaryota; Metazoa; Chordata; Actinopteri; Cyprinodontiformes; Cyprinodontidae.
CUCUUCUCUCUUGCAGUUGCUAAAGUCACUAUUAUACGAGUUUCUUUCCAAAUCAAGCGUUGGAUUAUCUUUGCCUAGGUUUUGCUCAGAGAGGACACUAAGAGUUCGAUGGCAGCUCUGUCUGAGAAUGUGUUGACAGUCCACAUGUUACUGAGUGUCCUAUUUCUUCCAGUUGCUGUGGGUGGUUGCCCCAAUCCAGUCCUCAUUGUUCAAACACCUGGGCAGAUUGAAGCUCUGAGUGGGUCUUGCUUACUAAUCCCCUGUAGCUAUAAUUCAUCGGAUGAAGGAUAUAACAAGACCAGAGCUAUUUAUGGAAUUUGGCUGAAAGCUACAACAAAUGUCAAUGCUGUUAUUUUUAACAGCAGUUGGUCAGAGAAAACCUCUUCACUGAAGAUGAUUGGAAACCUACACGAGAAAAACUGCACCACUCUGUUCUCUGAUUUAAAUACAAGCCAUAAAGACAAAU